RNAcentral lists this ribosomal RNA (520 nucleotides) under uncultured Glomus. RNAcentral's name for it is "SSU rRNA". It matches the Rfam family "Eukaryotic small subunit ribosomal RNA", at positions 569 to 1088 of the family's 1831-position model. The record is from RNAcentral. Lineage: Eukaryota; Fungi; Glomeromycota; Glomeromycetes; Glomerales; Glomeraceae.
AGCAGCCGCGGUAAUUCCAGCUCCAAUAGCGUAUAUUAAAGUUGUUGCAGUUAAAAGCUCGUAGUUGAAUUUCGGGGUCAGUAGGUCGGUCGUGCCACUGGUAUGAACUGGUUUUACUGAUUCCUCCCUCUUGAAGAACUGUAAUGCCAUUAAUUUGGUGUUGCAGGGAAUCAGGACUGUUACUUUGAAAAAAUUAGAGUGUUUAAAGCAGGCUUUAGCUUGAAUACAUUAGCAUGGAAUAAUGAAAUAGGACGUUUGAUCCUAUUUUGUUGGUUUCUAGGAUUGACGUAAUGAUUAAUAGGGAUAGUUGGGGGCAUUAGUAUUCAAUUGUCAGAGGUGAAAUUCUUGGAUUUAUUGAAGACUAACUACUGCGAAAGCAUUUUGCCAAGGAUGUUUUCAUUAAUCAAGAACGAAAGUUAGGGGAUCGAAGACGAUCAGAUACCGUCGUAGUCUUAACCAUAAACUAUGCCGACUAGGGAUCGGAUGAUGUUAAUUUUUUUCAAUGACUCAUUCGGCGCCU